AUAAUAAACAAAAUUCUAGUAAAUACUACUACACUACUUUACUUGAAAAAGGUGUUUAUAGUAUAUCAGGCAAUUAUUGCUGUUUUGGGGCUUCUUCCUAUCCAUGCCUAUAGUGGUCAUAGUAUCCAGACUCAACUUUGGUGAUACGAACGAUUAUAUGGUGCAAAAUAGGACUUUGACCAGUAUGGAUACAAACAAAUGGAAUCAUUAGGAAAAUUGCACAAUCUUUGGACAUCAUGUGUAGUUGGUCUGUGAUAGUAGCAGUCUGUAUUUCCUUCCAGUAUGGAGUAUUAUCCUUUUAUUCAAUGAAAUCAAAAACAACAAGGAUUGGCUAAUAAAUUGGGAUGUUAAUUUUAACCCUAACGAUGACGAUAUGGAUUGUCUGCAUUGGUAUCCUCUCUGAAUUUGGUUUACAUUCCACACAUGUAAACGUUGGAACGUUACUUUCUACAGUUAAUUCAGGACUUUAUACAAACUCUGGAUACCAUUUAUUGUGGAGCAUUGAUUGUAGAAGUUCACCUUUUCUCCAGAAAGCAGCAAUACAUCAAACAACUGUAAAAGUGUCUUUUUACCAUCACACUUGUUCAUUUGUGACAAUGAAUUGUCAAUUAUUAUGAGCGCACACACAAUCAAGAGGUCAAAAUAUGAUUCUUUACAUAAUGCCUCUUGAUGAUGUUAGAUAGUUAAAUGGUCCAUACACGUCAUUAACGAGGGUUGAAGUUUAUCGUAGGAACAUAAAUACUCCAUAUUUAAUGUGUUAUGAAACAUUGGUUGUAUCAGUACUCUUUUACUCUGGAAUGUAUACCUGAAGUAUUGAGAAAGGCGUGAAGGUGCGUUUUUUCCGUUGGGAACGAAGACAGUGUGCGGUAGCAGAAGGAAGGAUUUAUGACAUUGAACUGGAAUUCUGAUAGAGAAAGACGAUGAUACUUAAAUAUGCAUACAAAAACCUGUUAUUUUUAUUUAGAAAAUUGUGAUGAGAGUAUGAAAAUGUAAUGAAGCAGUGAUAGUCAAGGAGAUAGAUGCUUCUUAAACAAAGAAACAAUUGAUUAAGAAUAAAAGCAUCUCAAGUUUCAAGUUUGCCAAUGUAAAUCUGAACUACAAAAAGGAGUAUAAAGACCAGGAUAAAAGAAUACAAAAGCCUAUGUUGCCUAGGACACAGAAAAAUUAUCAGUAACAAAAGAGGAAAAAAAAGUAACAGAAGAUCAACACUUAAUACGUUCAUGUUUUGGCAAAGAACAACCAUUACCAUUCCCGCUUGUACAGAGAAGCCAUUGAAAUAUAUAAACACAAGAAUAAUUUCAAUAAAAAAGGAAGAGGGCACCUUUCAGAACGAUAUAAAUACGAGCACGCUUGUCACCGUUUCGCAUCAGAGAAGACUUCGACAUCGCCCUUGAAAAUGUCCACCACAGUUGUGAAUGAAACGUCGAGAAAACAACCCAACAGACCACGGCCCAUCAGCCGGGACAACAACUCACCUAUAUUCGACACCGGUCGUGAAAACGUACAAUCAACAAUACCUUCAAUUUGUUAGGCAUUUGUAACUUGCUUCAAUAGACAACUUUUAAGAAACGUUUUAGAAAUGGCAAAAGCAAAUUUAAUGUGGAACGGAUCUUUCCAUGAGUAUUGUCUCACAAAUGAGAAGGAAUUGCAGUCAAUUUUGAUGCUACUGAAACAAGCGAUGCUUUUGACGUGUUAACAUUAUGCCGUUAAUUUUUCCUGUAACUAUGGGAGGCAAUCGGGAGUUAAUUUGGAAGCAACUGAAACAAUCAACUGUCUAUAGUUGUUUCCCUCCUAGAUUUGGUUUGCUCAUCACACUGGUAGAGUUUAGAACGUUACCUACUACAAUUAAUUAAGAUUUUCCAGCAAAUGAGGGUGAUAUAACUUCAGUAUGGUCGUAUUGAAACAGUUGAUGUCUACAUGGGUGUUGUUUUUCGUGGACUGUACUCUUGAUUUCCUGUUUUCGUUUUCGCCUUCCAACAUCAUACAGUGAAUUUUUAACCCACGAGUGAGAGCAACUGGAUAUUUGAAUUCCAAUGAAACAACAAAUUGUCUGCAGGGAUAUCCCUUCCAGAUUUGGUUUGCUCAGCACACUGGUAGACUUUAGAACGCUACCUUCUACAAUUAAUUAAGGUUAUACAACAAAUGAGAGAGAAUUAAUGUUCAGUUUGGUCAUACUAAAUCAGCCAAUGUCUACAUAGGUGUGGUCUUUCGUGGAUUAUAUUCCUGAUUAGCUGUUUCGUCUUCACCUUCUAUCAUCAUGCAGUUAAUUUUCAACCCAUGGGUGAAAGCAACUGGAUAUUUAUUUGAAUUCCACUAAAAUAACAACUUAUCUGCUAUGGUGUUCCUCCUGGAGUUAGUUUGCUUUUCACACCUGUAAGCUUUAGAACGUUACGUUCUACAAUUAAUUAAGGUGAGAAUACUUCAUAUAAUAAUUUUAAUUGCUCUUUAUUAAUCUGUUUGCCAACGUAUCUUUUUCAGAUCGAUGUUGGAGAAGACAAAGAUGACCCCGUAGUUGAAAUAGUUCUUUAUCUUGCAUGCUCUAUCUAGUAGAAU
RNAcentral lists this long non-coding RNA (2553 nucleotides) under Agrilus planipennis (emerald ash borer). RNAcentral describes it as "uncharacterized LOC108739305, transcript variant X3". Lineage: Eukaryota; Metazoa; Arthropoda; Insecta; Coleoptera; Buprestidae. The record is from RNAcentral.